RNAcentral lists this ribosomal RNA (253 nucleotides) under uncultured bacterium. Its description in RNAcentral is "partial 16S ribosomal RNA". It matches the Rfam family "Bacterial small subunit ribosomal RNA", at positions 524 to 776 of the family's 1533-position model. The record is from RNAcentral.
UACGUAGGGUGCAGGCGUUAAUCGGAAUUACUGGGCGUAAAGCGUGCGCAGGCGGUCUUUUAAGUCAGAUGUGAAAUCCCCGGGCUUAACCUGGGAACUGCGUUUGAAACUGGAAGGCUAGAGUGUGGCAGAGGGGGGUGGAAUUCCACGUGUAGCAGUGAAAUGCGUAGAGAUGUGGAGGAACACCGAUGGCGAAGGCAGCCCCCUGGGCUAACACUGACGCUCAUGCACGAAAGCGCGGGGAGCAAACAGG